This 499-nucleotide ribosomal RNA is filed under the name uncultured bacterium. RNAcentral's name for it is "partial 16S ribosomal RNA". It matches the Rfam family "Bacterial small subunit ribosomal RNA", at positions 28 to 507 of the family's 1533-position model. The record is from RNAcentral.
GACGAACGCUGGCGGCGUGCCUAAUACAUGCAAGUCGAGCGGACUGAAUGGGAGCUUGCUCUUGUUCGGUCAGCGGCGGACGGGUGAGUAACACGUGGGCAACCUGCCCGCAAGACCGGGAUAACUCCGGGAAACCGGAGCUAAUACCGGAUAACACCGAAGACCGCAUGGUCUUUGGUUGAAAGGCGGCGCAAGCUGCCACUUGCGGAUGGGCCCGCGGCGCAUUAGCUAGUUGGUGAGGUAACGGCUCACCAAGGCGACGAUGCGUAGCCGGCCUGAGAGGGGGGCCGGGCAAGCGGGGAGUGGGGCACGGCGCAGACGCCAACGGGAGGGAGCAGUAGGGAAUCUUCCGCAAUGGGCGAAAGGCUGACGGGGAGGGGCCGCGGGAGCGAAGAAGGCCUUCGGGUGGAAAAGAUCGGUGGUGAGGGACGAAGGAGGGCCGUUUGAAGAAGGCGGGGGGGUGACGGUACCUCACGAGGAAGCCCCGGCUAACUACGUG